This 253-nucleotide ribosomal RNA is filed under the name uncultured bacterium. Its description in RNAcentral is "partial 16S ribosomal RNA". It matches the Rfam family "Bacterial small subunit ribosomal RNA", at positions 524 to 776 of the family's 1533-position model. The record is from RNAcentral.
UACAGAGACCUCAAGCGUUAUCCGGAUUUACUGGGCGUAAAGGGUCCGCAGGUGGCUAUGUGCGUCGAUGGUUAAAUGUUCGGGCUCAACCCGGACACCGCCGUCGAUACGGCAUAGCUAGAGCAUGGAAGAGGUACGCGGAAUUACCGGUGUAGUAGUAAUAUGCGUUAAUAUCGGUAAGAACACCAAAUGCGAAGGCAGCGUACUGGGACAUUGCUGACACUCAGGGACGAAAGCGUGGGGAGCGAAAGGG